UACCCAUCACUUGAUUGUAUCACUGUCCCAUUUCUUCAUUUGAUCACAUCAUAUAUCCUUCUAAAUCAUCUCCUCUAGGUUUUUUCAUCAUCUUAUAUUUUCUUUCAAAUGAAUGUAAGAUUUUUUUAAGCACAUAUUCAUUCAUUCAUUAUCAUUUCAAUUCUUGACAAAUAUAAUGCAAUCAAGCAUUUUCUCAAUUCAUUCUAGGGGUGAAACAAUAAGAGAAUGCAAGGUGAAUUAUGGUAAAGAUAAUCAAUGAAGAU
Molecule: long non-coding RNA, 263 nt
Filed under: Durio zibethinus
Lineage: Eukaryota; Viridiplantae; Streptophyta; Magnoliopsida; Malvales; Malvaceae
Description: long non-coding RNA (DZIB_LNC000661)
Source: RNAcentral